Molecule: ribosomal RNA, 776 nt
Filed under: uncultured Neocallimastigales
Lineage: Eukaryota; Fungi; Neocallimastigomycota; Neocallimastigomycetes; Neocallimastigales
Description: partial large subunit ribosomal RNA
Rfam family: Eukaryotic large subunit ribosomal RNA
Source: RNAcentral
UUAUCUCUGUAGAGUCUGCAUAUCAAUAAGCGGAGGAAAAGAAACUAACUAGGAUUCCCUCAGUAACGGCGAGUGAAGCGGGAAGAGCUCAAAUUUGAAAUCUUCAAGGUUCUACCUUGACGAAUUGUAGUUUAAAGGAGUGUUUUCUGUUGGAGUUUUGGUAAAAGUUCUUUGGAAUAGGACAUCAUAGAGGGUGAGAAUCCCGUAUUUGACCAUUAUUUCCAGCUUUGUGAUACACUUUCAAAGAGUCGGAUUGUUUGGGAAUGCAGUCCAAAAUGGGUAGUAAAUUUCAUCUAAAGCUAAAUAUUGGCGAGAGACCGAUAGCGAACAAGUACCGUGAGGGAAAGAUGAAAAGAACUUUGAAAAGAGAGUUAAACAGUACGUGAAAUUGUCAAAAGGGAAGCGUUUGACACCAGUGUUGUUUUCUCGAAAAUCAAUUAAAAAAGGCAGGAUUUUGUGUUGUAUUGACUUUAUCAGCUUUCUGCACUCUUUUCUUGUCUUUUUUAAUGCACUUUUCGUUUAACAAGUCAACAUCAAUUUCUUUUGUUGUAAAAGGGUCAUUGGAAGGUGGCUUUCUUUUCGGAGAAAGUGUUUAUAGCCUUUGGCCUCUGCAAUCGGAGAGAUUGAGGUCUGCAGCGUAGAUCCUUCGGGGUUAGAUACAUUUGUGCUAAGUUAUAGCCUUUCAUAGACAACUUGUUGACUAUGAUCAGUCAUGUAGCCUUACUCGCUUAUGCUAUUUUACCUACGCUUAGGAUGUUGACGAUCAGCUGAGCGCG